Molecule: ribosomal RNA, 634 nt
Filed under: uncultured Verrucomicrobiota bacterium
Lineage: Bacteria; Pseudomonadati; Verrucomicrobiota
Description: bacterial SSU rRNA
Rfam family: Bacterial small subunit ribosomal RNA
Source: RNAcentral
UAGAGGGUAGCAAUAUUCUCUAGUCGGAGUGGCGCAAGGGUGCGUAACACGUGGGUAAUCUGCCGUGAAGACUGGGAUAACUCGCUGAAAGGCGAGCUAAUACCGGAUGUGAUUGCUGGGGAGCAUUUUCUGGCAAUGGAAGCUGGGGACCGUAACAGGCCUGGCACUUCACGAUGAGCCCGCGGCCUAUCAGCUAGUUGGUGAGGUAACGGCCCACCAAGGCUAAGACGGGUAGCUGGUCUGAGAGGACGACCAGCCACACUGGAACUGAGACACGGUCCAGACACCUACGGGUGGCAGCAGUCGAGAAUUUUUCACAAUGGGCGCAAGCCUGAUGGAGCGACGCCGCGUGGGGGAUGAAGGGUUUCGAUCCGUAAACCCCUGUCAUUUGCGAACAAACCUUAUGAAAUAACACUUCAUGAGCUGAUUGUAGCGGAAGAGGAAGGGACGGCUAACUCUGUGCCAGCAGCCGCGGUAAUACAGAGGUCCCAAGCGUUGUUCGGAUUCACUGGGCGUAAAGGGUGCGUAGGUGGCCGGGUAAGUUCGGUGUGAAAGCUCGGAGCUCAACUCCGAAAAGUCAUUGAAUACUAUCCGGCUGGAGGGUCGGAGGGGAGACUGGAAUUCUCGGUGUAGC